Molecule: ribosomal RNA, 506 nt
Filed under: uncultured bacterium
Lineage: Bacteria
Description: partial 16S ribosomal RNA
Rfam family: Bacterial small subunit ribosomal RNA
Source: RNAcentral
AUUGAACGCUGGCGGCAGGCCUAACACAUGCAAGUCGAGCGGCAGCGGGAAGUAGCUUGCUACUUUGCCGGCGAGCGGCGGACAGGUGAGUAAUGUCUGGGAAACUGCCUGAUGGAGGGGGAUAACUACUGGAAACGGUAGCUAAUACCGCAUAAUGUCGCAAGACCAAAGAGGGGGACCUUCGGGCCUCUUGCCAUCAGAUGUGCCCAGAUGGGAUGAGCUAGUAGGUGGGGUAACGGCUCACCUAGGCGACGAUCCCUAGCUGGUCUGAGAGGAUGACCAGCCACACUGGAACUGAGACACGGUCCAGACUCCUACGGGAGGCAGCAGUGGGGAAUAUUGCACAAUGGGCGCAAGCCUGAUGCAGCCAUGCCGCGUGUAUGAAGAAGGCCUUCGGGUUGUAAAGUACUUUCAGCGGGGAGGAAGGUGUUGAGGUUAAUAACCUCAGCAAUUGACGUUACCCGCAGAAGAAGCACCGGCUAACUCCGUGCCAGCCGCCGCCGUAA